Molecule: ribosomal RNA, 497 nt
Filed under: uncultured bacterium
Lineage: Bacteria
Description: partial 16S ribosomal RNA
Rfam family: Bacterial small subunit ribosomal RNA
Source: RNAcentral
GAUGAACGCUGGCGGCGUGCCUAAUACAUGCAAGUCGAGCGAACAGACGAGGAGCUUGCUCCUCUGACGUUAGCGGCGGACGGGUGAGUAACACGUGGAUAACCUACCUAUAAGACUGGGAUAACUUCGGGAAACCGGAGCUAAUACCGGAUAAUAUAUUGAACCGCAUGGUUCAAUAGUGAAAGACGGUUUUGCUGUCACUUAUAGAUGGAUCCGCGCCGCAUUAGCUAGUUGGUAAGGUAACGGCUUACCAAGGCAACGAUGCGUAGCCGACCUGAGAGGGUGAUCGGCCACACUGGAACUGAGACACGGUCCCGACUCCUACGGGAGGCAGCAGUAGGGAAUCUUCCGCGAUGGGCGAAAGCCUGACGGAGCACCGCCGCGUGAGUGAUGAAGGUCUUCGGAUCGUAAAACUCUGUUAUUAGGGAAGAACAAAUGUGUAAGUAACUAUGCACGUCUUGACGGUACCUAAUCAGAAAGCCACGGCUAACUACGUG